Long non-coding RNA from Mustela lutreola (European mink), 2289 nucleotides. RefSeq lists it as uncharacterized. The transcript has 3 exons. The record is from RefSeq and is a predicted model, not a curated record. NCBI's taxonomy places the organism in Eukaryota, Metazoa, Chordata, Mammalia, Carnivora, Mustelidae.
GCUGCCGCUCCGCGCGGACCCAACCUCCCACCGCGGCUUCCAGCCUCUCUCGCAGCUCCGCGGGGGGGUUGCUGGGGGCCGCCGCCGGGGACCUGCGCUCCGGCGCCGGCCUGGUCGGGGCCAUUCGGCCGGCCGCUCGCUGCGGGCAAGACGAGGACCGAAAGGAUGGAAUGUCUGUUGGGCCUCGGGCUCGUGAUGUUUCCAGGGGGGUCUGGAUGACCGGCUCGACCUCCAGCCCUGCGCUCCCGGCCGUGCUCCCAGUCCCUUGCCACGCAGGGCCUUCUGUGGGACGCCCACCCAGAUACAUCCCAAACACAGCUGCGGGACCCCUCGAACUCUGCUACGCUUCUGUACCCACCCCUAGAAGUCAUCACGGCAGCUGGAAAGCACUGCCGACCUCCUCGUGGCUGUGGGCAGACCCUUAAAUGACCGCGACACACCCCGUGUAAUUUGUCUGUGGCGCCCCCCACAAGCCAUAAUUAAAACUCGGAACUCAAAAUGGACGGUCCAGGACAAUCUCGUAUGAGAAGAGGAAGGGACCUGGACGUCAUUUUGCCUCCACCGUUUUUGUUACAUAAUGGAAACCAGACAGAGAGGGAAGGCCACUUGCCCAGGGUUACUCCACUGGUGAGAGGCAGCCCAGCCCCGUGUGCCACUUCCCUUCUCAGUGCACAGUCCAAGACAGAUGCUGGGACAAAGGACUGCACCACGUUUCCUUAGACCAUAGUGGUCAGGGGCGCCUGGGUGGUGCAGUCCGGUAAGGCACCGACUCUUGAUUUUGGCUGAGGUCAUGAUCUCUGGGUGGUGAGAUAGAGCCUGGGCGCUCAGCAGCGAGUCCGCUUGAAAUAUCUCCCUCUGCCAGGAGCUAGCUCUCCUCUAAAAUAAAUAAAUAAAUCUAAGAGAGAAAGAGAGGGAAAGAAAGCAUUGUGCCCAGUCAAGAUCCCAGCUGGAAACAAAUGGCACGCUCCAAAUUUGAAAAUCUGAGGUAAUUUUGCAGCAUAAUAUGACCUUGGAGCACUGGACUGGAAAGCGGCUUGUUUUCAACCAAGAAAGAGCUGUUCUAUUUGAAGGCCAACUCUGAGUGCCAAAACUUGGAUAACUUUUACUGGAAGCCGGACACUCCAGAAGUCCACCCUGACUCCACUUCUUUGCUGGGGAGCCUGAGACCCCACAGCUCACUUACCCACCUCGUAAAAGGGGGUUGUCCUGAGGAUCACAGACAAAUGUGACGCUCUAAAACACCCAGCUGCCUCGAAGCUACCCAGCAGUUCAACCCGUGACAGCAUUAUUAUUUUUAUUUACAUUAUUAUUUUUAUUUACAAACAUUAUUAUUUUUAUCUAGAGCAAAAGCUCUUUUGUAAGUCCUCAUGAUCACUCUCUGGCCUUGACUCUCCCAUCCUCUACAGGUUCCUGCUGAAACCUAAGUAACUCGGUAUUGUACUUUGAAAGCUAGAGAAGUUAAACAGGGAGCAGCGCAAGUGGGACCUGCUAGAGUAAAUCUUGUUUAGAAAAGGCAACUUCUGUAACAGUCAGUGAAAGGGCUGCCUGGGUGGCACAGACACUGUUCCCACUCCGGCCCUACCCAUGACCACCCUAGAGUUUUCUCAUGGGCUCCUUGGAGUUUGGGAAGCACAGUCAGGCGAGAUUGGCCUUCUUCUGGACCAUAAACAAGCUCUGCUCACACUUUCCCAUGUGUUUAAUUUUCUAAAGGAAGCUUAUGAUAAACCCAGGGAGGGAGCCCAGUGCCCCACUGGGCAGGUUAUUGAAAGACAGUCCCAGUUUUCUUGUUAAUUUCCAAAUGUGAUAUUUGAAGGAACUUUGGAAACCUUCCAAUUGUGUGAAAUAUCUAGCUGUUUGUUUGUUUUAAAUAAGUCUGUAGAACUACUUUUCUCUCUGACACUUUCUCCCCCAAACAACUUUUUUGUUUUGUAAAUAGUUAAUGCCUUUGCCUCAUUUACGAAUGAAAAGUACAUCCCACGCAGGCUUCCUCCUCUGCCCCAAAGCAAUGCAGUCGGUAUCCCCCACCUUGGGCAACUCUUUAAUAUUAGCUUCUUGUUAAUCGUCCUAGGGAUACUUCGUACAAAUAGAAGGAAAUAGAAAUGCAUGCCAUUAUUUCGUCCACUUUCUAACACCUGAGAAAGGAGGUUACAUUUACUCUUUGUACCUUGCCACUUAAUAUGACCUGGAGUUCCCUGCAGAUCUACACGGAGAGAUGGCCCGCAUUCAUAGAGUAGCAUUCAUAGCCCCAUUGCUAGACACUUGGAUUAUUUCCAAUCUUUUGUUAUUGCA